Ornithorhynchus anatinus (platypus) is the source of this 138-nucleotide non-coding RNA. Lineage: Eukaryota; Metazoa; Chordata; Mammalia; Monotremata; Ornithorhynchidae. The record is from Rfam.
CCCCUCUCAAGAUCACACCUGGAGAGUUUCCAGUAGUCUGCCAGCCUCGGCUAUGGGGGGGAGAGUCAAGCAGAGGCAUACCCAUUCCGUUUCUAGCUUGGGCAGUGGCUAUUGAGUGGAAAUCAAUCUGCUACAAGU